This 257-nucleotide long non-coding RNA is filed under the name Ananas comosus (pineapple). RNAcentral describes it as "long non-coding RNA (ACOM_LNC008779)". Lineage: Eukaryota; Viridiplantae; Streptophyta; Magnoliopsida; Poales; Bromeliaceae. The record is from RNAcentral.
GAUGAGCAUACUCAACGCCUUCCGCUCCAUCUUCAUCCAUGCUACAUCUAUGACCUUCGCCGGUUUUGCCUCCUUUCCGUUCAACGUUUCAUCUAAAUCUUAUUGUACGAGGAUAGCCCAUACUUUAAUCUGCCACAAUCCGAAAUUGUUCUUGCCAUCGACUUCUCGAUUUCGAAUUUCGUUUUCAUCUUCGUCGAUCUCUCCCGCAGAUCAGUAACCUUAAGCUCUGAUACCAAUUGUUGAGAAUCCGGUACUCG